GCAGUCGAACGGUAACAUAAAGAAGCUUGCUUCUUUGAUGACGAGUGGCGGACGGGUGAGUAAUGCUUGGGAAUCUAGCUUAUGGAGGGGGAUAACUACGGGAAACUGUAGCUAAUACCGCGUAGAAUCGAGAGAUGAAAGUGUGGGACCUUCGGGCCACAUGCCAUAGGAUGAGCCCAAGUGGGAUUAGGUAGUUGGUGAGGUAAAGGCUCACCAAGCCGACGAUCUCUAGCUGGUCUGAGAGGAUGACCAGCCACACUGGGACUGAGACACGGCCCAGACUCCUACGGGAGGCAGCAGUGGGGAAUAUUGCGCAAUGGGGGCAACCCUGACGCAGCCAUGCCGCGUGAAUGAAGAAGGCCUUCGGGUUGUAAAGUUCUUUCGGUAGCGAGGAAGGCAUUUAGUUUAAUAGACUAGGUGAUUGACGUUAACUACAGAAGAAGCACCGGCUAACUCCGUGCCAGCAGCCGCGGUAAUACGGAGGGUGCGAGCGUUAAUCGGAAUAACUGGGCGUAAAGGGCACGCAGGCGGUGACUUAAGUGAGGUGUGAAAGCCCCGGGCUUAACCUGGGAAUUGCAUUUCAUACUGGGUCGCUAGAGUACUUUAGGGAGGGGUAGAAUUCCACGUGUAGCGGUGAAAUGCGUAGAGAUGUGGAGGAAUACCGAAGGCGAAGGCAGCCCCUUGGGAAUGUACUGACGCUCAUGUGCGAAAGCGUGGGGAGCAA
RNAcentral lists this ribosomal RNA (724 nucleotides) under uncultured bacterium. RNAcentral's name for it is "bacterial SSU rRNA". It matches the Rfam family "Bacterial small subunit ribosomal RNA", at positions 57 to 771 of the family's 1533-position model. The record is from RNAcentral.